Long non-coding RNA from Lutra lutra (Eurasian river otter), 831 nucleotides. RefSeq lists it as uncharacterized. Lineage: Eukaryota; Metazoa; Chordata; Mammalia; Carnivora; Mustelidae. The transcript has 2 exons. The record is from RefSeq and is a predicted model, not a curated record.
GGAUCAUGACCUGAGCCGAAGGCAGAGGCUUUAACCCGCUGAGCCACCCAGGCGCCCUUUAGUGGAUUUUAAAAAAGAAUUCAGAUAACCUUUCACCUGGGGGCGAAAGACAGGGAGAUGAGAAAGGAAAAGGCAGAUUUCUUGUCAAUAAACAAUAUAGGUUUGGUUUGUUAAAAACCUAUUUGGGGUUCUGUUUAUAUUAUGCUAAAGACAAGUUGGGUAGUAAGAAUUAACAUUUUUUGCUUCUGAUUUAGCUUAACGACUUACUAAUGUGUGACCUUGCGCAAGUUAUUUUAACCUUUCUUUGCCUCAGUUUCCUCAUCCAUAAAGUGGGAGUCAAAAUAGAAGCUACCUCUUAGGAUUGUCAGUAUUAAAUAGGUUGAUAUUUAUAAAACCUUUAGUGCCUGCUUCAUACUAAGUGCUGUAUGAGUGUUAUGUGUCAUUAUUAUUUGAAGCCAUCUAUAUAAUUAUUAAAGUCUGGGAUAUAAUUUGAACACACCUAGCUUAUAGGUCAUAUACCUAGGAUUCUUAGAGGACAUUAACAACUUUAGGGGAAUAAUUAUUCUCUAUAGCUUUCCCUAAAGAACCCAGAUUCUGUUUAAAAAAAAAAAAAAAAAAGAUAAACACGAGGCAGGGAUUGCGUGAUAAAUUCCAUUUACCUGAAAUAAGGUAUGUUUUGAGCAUAGUUGUACCCUUAGAGACUGAAGAGUAAUCAUAUAUUUAAAAUGUGUUGGUUGUGGAGCACUGUAUCAAAAUAUUCACAUGGGAUUAAAUACUUAACCAGGUUAAGUACUAAAUCGGUUGUUCUUAAACAUCAGUAUCUCUUAAAAA